This 11930-nucleotide long non-coding RNA is filed under the name Anthonomus grandis grandis. RNAcentral's name for it is "uncharacterized LOC126749126". Lineage: Eukaryota; Metazoa; Arthropoda; Insecta; Coleoptera; Curculionidae. The record is from RNAcentral.
AGGCGGCAAACCUCUUGAAUACUAACCGUUAAUUCUAUUGUUUUUCUUUUACGUUGUAGGCAAUGGUCAGAAAAUAAGUGUGAAAUUCCAGAAAAGACCCUUUGACAAUUCCAGCAUAUCGUGUACGCACUCAUGGAAGACGGCAAGAUAGAAAGUGGCGUGCAUAGGGCUGGUAGAUGAGAUUUUAACUCUCUUCCUGAAUAAGGAGGCAGCAAUGGCGAAGGGGAUCCAUGCAAGGAGGACCCAUGUAUUUAUAUUGGACUACUACUAUUUUACACCGCAAUUUAAAAUAGCGUGUUAUUGUGGGCAAACUAGAAUCAGCAAUAAGCCAAGAAACAAAUGUUUUUAUUCUUCCGAGAGUUUAUUUAUUUAAUUUUUAUGAUUCAAUGUUAUGUUGAUAAGUUAAGGAUUAGUAGAUAAGGAAGAUUUAUGUAUCUAUACGUUCAAAACCAGAAACUUAAUUUGUUAAUACACUGUGUGAUCUAAAUUUGGGACAUACACUCUUUGACAAAAAUAAAUUUUAUGUUUUAGUUUUAUCUUUUUGGUAGUAAAUUAAUUAAAUUAUAGUAACUUGCAUUUAGAUCAUCAAUCAUCAACAACCCUCCGCAAUAUUGAAGAUAUUGGGUCACAAACACGAAAUUGAAAAUUGUCAAUAAUUUCAAAAGGCAAGUCAUUUAUGAACACCAUUAAUUAAAUAAUCUAAAUUUGUGAUAUUUUGCUUGUUAUCAUUACUUGUUGGACUCUAUUGUUGAGAUAAGAAGUGAACCAUUUUAAGGAAUUAUUUCUCACCCCAUAUAACUAAUUUCUUUAUUAAUAAAUUUCUAUCUAAACAAUCAUAUGCCUUAGAAAGAUCUAAAAAUAUUCCCAAUGAAAGCAUUUGCCUCUCCAAAUUCCUAAAGACUGCACAAGUGAACUGAGAUAUUGCAGUUUCUGUAGAUUUACUCUCAAGAUAUCCAUAUUGAUUAUCAGACAAAAUAUUGCACUCUUUUAAAAAACUGAGAAGCUGAUUGCAAACAAUUAACAGUUGAAAAACUUGGAAGUAGGCUGAUCAGUCUACAGUGCGUCCCAGAAUAAGCGAAUUUAUACGUAAAAGUGACAAAAAAUUUUAGUAUUAAAAUUUGACAGUUUUGCAUCCAGCCCUGCUUAAUUAGAAAAUAAAAUUUUGCAUAUUUUAUUUUUUUUUAAAUCAAGCAUGGUAAAGUAGUAUAUCUGGGGAAGAUAUAAAAAAAAGUUUAUAAGAAAAAGUUGUUUAGAAUGUAAAAUUAUGCCCGAAUACCGAAUUUCAAACCCAUAGGUCUACUUUGAUUUUUACGUUUAAAUUAUUAUUUAUUUAAUUAUUUAUUCUUACUUUUCAAUAUUAAUAUUUAAAAUAGUGAAAAUUAUUUUAAAAAUUAUUGCCCUUGGACUAUUCGCUACUUUCGACUAUUUAAUUUUUUUGGGGCUCGUGGAAUGCAUGUCGCUUAUUAUAUUGGGUUCUUUUUUGCUGCAUUUACGAGUUUUUGUGGAACUUUUUAAAAUGUAAACAUUCUCAAUUAAAUGUAGCAGCUACUCUAAAACAUUGUCACUGUCAAAGUUAUGUAACAAAAAACAGAAAAAGACGAUGACAACGGUGCUGCUAGAAUCCUGGCUUUGGAGUCAAUUACUGAGGUCGACGGUGCUGAACAUAAGUAAAUCUGAAUUACAAAGCAUUUAUAAUGCCAACAAUAUUAAAGCAUUUAAACCAAGGUACUUCCAAUGAAAAUUCCAAACUUUGUAAUCCAUGGCAAAAGGCAAUAUUUUCAAAAAGUCAACGCAUGGCGCGCCAUAUCUUACCAUUUAGAUAUUAUUGGACCAUAGUUUAUUGAAGGAUCUCUUAAUCAACGUAUCUUCAAAUUUUGGAAAGAUUUUUUGAAGAAUACUUAGAACCUUUACCAGUUGAUGAAAGAAUAAAUCUUUAUUUUCAACACGAUGGUUGUCCAGCGCACUCCACUAUUUGAGUAGCAAAAUGGUUGAAUAGAACUUUUCCAAAUCAAUGGAUUGGAAGACGCGGCCCAAUUGGGUGGCCGCCAAGGUCACCUGAUUAAACCAUUUUUGAUUCCUAUUUUAUGGGGCCGGCUCAGACAAAUUGUUUAUUCAGAGCCAUUAGCAAAUGACAGGGAAUUACUAAAACAAAGAAUUAGAGACCCUUGUAAUUAAAUUUCCAUUGAACAUUAAUAUAUGAAAUUCUUUUAAAAUGUUUAGGAAAAAUAUAAAGAAACAUAUUUCCAAAUAUUUAAAUUAUCUGUUUUAUUGCUUUUUUUAGUGCAGUUACAGCAAGUGGGUCUUUGACAAGCAGAUGUAUAUAUCGGGUGGUGCGUCGCCGAGCGGAACAUAGGAAAACCCAUGUAAAUUUUAAGGGGGUCAAUUAUUGGCUUCCCUGUACAUUUUAUACAUAAAAUGUAAGAUAACUUUUUGAAGAGACCAAUCUGGCAAAGCCUUGUGCAAAGUUUAAAAAAAUUUUAAUAAGCGAAUCUUAAUUAAUUGCUAAAUUUGCAAAUUUUUGGUUCAGGUAAAACCAGUAAAAUGAAUAUUGUCACUGACGUGAGGAAAAGUGACAAUAAAUUAGUGACAGUCGAUAUUUGAAAAUAAGUAUGAAUUAUUCAAUCGACGAAAAAAUAGCCAUAAUUAAGUUAAUAAAUAAUUACUUAAUAAAUAAUAGUCAUAAUUAAGUCUUACUUGAAUGUAUGGUUGUGAGAUUGAUAAAACAAAAAAAAUUACAUUUCUUGUAUUCGGCUGUAUGUCAGAUUUGACAAAGCUUUAUAACAAAUUGUUUGCUGGUGGCUGGUGUCUGGUUUCACCUGAACCGAAAAUUUGGUAAUUUUGCAAUUACAUUUAAUUGAAUAAUUCAAGAUUCGCUUAUUAAAAUUUUUUGAAACUUUGCACGAGGGUUUGCCAGAUUGGUCUCUUCAAAAAGUUAUCUUACAUUUUUUAAUUUUUUAAUUAAAGUAAAACAUUUUGAAAACAGUGCCUUAAAUCAUAAUUUUGCAAAAGUAACUUUUCGUUUCAAAUUAAAUGGAGAAUCUAACAGUUGACUUCUUGAAAACAUCUUGUCGGACUUGCAUUGUCUUAUUUAUUUAUUGUAACACGACGUUUCGGUUGGUAAGUAUCUCCAACCGUUAUCAAGUGUAAACUGAAAGCAAACUACUAUUCUAUAGGCUUAUAUACUAGAUGUGUGCAGCGAUAUGGAAGGGGAGGGAAGGGAGGGAAAGUCAUCCGUGAAAAAGCGUUGGAGGGGGGAAGGACACGCGUCUCUCUAGAUCCUACACUGUCCUGAGAGUAGAGGCUUCCAGAUGUUGGGUAUAUCGACGCUUGGCUGGCUGAAGAUCCUCUGAUUCCGUGAGAUGAAAGCUGCCUCUACGAACUUCCUCUUCCGCCAGUGCUGUUCCUUGUGCAGAAUCUUGGCUUCUGACCAAUGGAUAUUGUGUCCAUUAUGCCACGCGUGCUCUGCUAUCCCGGAUUUGGAAACCUCUCCUCUUUGGGUCCAGCUGCGAUGUUCCUUCGCUCUGAUUUCUAGGGGGCGCUUCGUUUCACCUAUGUAUGAGUCACCGCACUCACAUGGGAUCCGGUAGACGCAAUUUUUGGUAUCCACCAUGCCAUCUGGUUUGGUCUUUGAAACCACGCUUCUGAUAGUGGUGCUAGAUCUAAAGGCAGUUCUAAUAUUGUACUUGCUGGCAAUGCGUCGGAUUUGUUCCGAUGUACCCCUAAUGUAAGGUAUGGGUAGAAGUCUGGUUGUCGUGGUGGCCUCGUCUCUGAUUUGAUUUGGACGCGUCCUUCAAGUCCGACAAGAUGUUUUCACUGUACCAUUGUCUACCACCUUCAAAAACAGUUGACUUCUUAUAAACAAAUAUUUUAUCAGCUCGCAGAUUUGAGACAAAAAAGGACCAAGUCCCUCCGUGUGCUACGCCACUGGCAAUUUUUUUAAAAAUUGACUUCAUCAGUAAUUGACAAUUCACUACAAUAACCUGCAUGCGAAAUUUAGUUAAAAUUAAGCUGGUAGUUUAAAAGUUAUGAUAAAUAAACGAAAGAAUGUUUAUUUAAUAUCUUUGUUAUUAAACAUUUCUGAGAAAAAUUUUAUAAUGAAAGUCUAUUUCUUUUUCAAUUCUCUAUCGCAUAUUAAAAUUAAUAACGUUUGAACUGGACCACCCUGUAUAUAUAUACUCAGGGCAAAAAAACGUCUUUUUGAAUCAAGUUAAAGUUAAAUUACAUUCUAAAUUAUGGUUUUGACGUUUCAACUUAUUAUUAGUUUACAAACAAAUUUUGUUUGCAAAACCUACUUUAUACGCUACCUAAUUUACCUAAUAUAAGUUCAUUCAAAUAGUAGGGUCGUUUUGAGACACUAGAGCAAUAUUUUAAAAAUUGUAUUUAAUAAUUUCUUUUAAAAGAAUACAUAAAAUUUAAAUAUCGUUACGGUGCAUGAUGUGAUCAAUGGUUUCCGAUUAUUAUUUCAAAACUGCUCAAAAAACAAUUAAGAUUUACUAUGGUAAAGUCAACACUAUUUAUCAGAUAUACAGGGUGUUUUGGGAGGAAACGGAAAUAUUUUAGGAACAUUUAGGAACAUAGUUUUAAUCCGAUUCUGAACCAGUUUUUUUGUAAGAUUUUUUGUUUUAAAAGCAACACAAACAAAUACUAGUAAAAAACAAAAUUCCACUAAUUUAAAAUGUUUUCGCAAACACCGUCACUAAGUUCAAGGCAACCUGCAGUACGUUUGUUAAGCGCUCGUGUUGUACGUUUAAUUGAUUGGAGAUUGUUUUUAAUAAUAUUUGAAGCAUUUCAAAUUGCCUUGUGGAGUCCUACGAUUUCUACUGGUGUUUCAUACACUAGUGCUUUCAUCCACUCUCGAGGCAAUAAUCCAGUGGAUUUAAGUCUGGUGACCUCAGUGGCCAAACUUGAGGUCCUUCUCUGUCAAUCCAACGAUCAGGAAAACGAUUAUCUAAGAAAUUACGAACUCGGCGACUAAAAUGAGGCGAGGCUCCAUCGUGUUGAAAAUACAUUCGGUGUCGAACAAUUGGCGCAACAUGAUCCAACAUGUGUAUUAAAUGGUCUUCCAAAAAGCGUAAAUAUCCUCCAGUAUUAGACGCUCAUCUAAUACUGUUUAUUGUGUCGGUUAUUAACUCCGUUGCGGGUAAAAUGAGCUUCAUCGCUAAAUAAAAAGUAUUUAUGUAGGCCUUAAUUUUGUUGGAUCCAUUCGCAAAAUUGAACCCUUAAGCCAUAAUCACCCUCUUAAAGAUGUUGAACCGUUUGAAUAUGGAAAGGCCAAAGAGUCUUCCAAGUCAAGGAGACGUCGAAGGUCAAAACAAAUGACGAACAAAAAAAAAACAAGAAUUAAACCCCUUUUUCCUAUCCUAAUACAUUGCUUCUUAUGGAACCUGAUCUUUCUCUUUAGAUUGUGGCACUCGUAUGAAUCGUGGAAAAAUUUGUCAUUAAGCUUUUUUACUACUUUUUAAGUCGUCUUUAAGCAGAAAAAAGAAAUUUUGAAUUCGGAGCUUAUUUUGAAAAAAUGCUCAUUUUGACCCUGAUUUUGUUCGAAAAUCGAAAAAUGCAAAGAAAUAGGUUUUCCGUUCUUUUUAGAGUCAAAUCGGUAAUAAUCUUUUUUAAAGGUACUCUGAAGUAGUACAGGAUAGAAAAUAAAAAAUUAAAAUGUUUCCAUAGGGCUCAUGAUAAUUCGAUAUUCUGUGGCGUUAACUUUACAGUGCUACUAUUUUGCCAAGAGUCUGCAGACAGUAGCUCAGAAUUAUUGGAGGCUUGGGAUUGUUGGAAGGUUCACUUAUGACUGGCUAUUAAAGAAUCUAAACUUGAUUAUAACUAAUAAAUAAGAGGGCGCCACUUAGUCUUUUUUUUUAUAAAUGAGAGAAAACUAAGAAAAAGACUUGGUAUAUAGGUUUCAAUAACAAUUAAAUGACCCUGGAUAAAGUAGAUUUAAAGAGGCAAAAAAAAUAUCUUAACAAUACAACCAAAUUAUAUUUACAUCAAAGAUAUGUACACACCUCCUGUUCUAAUCUGUUAAAUGUUAAUAAUUUAUUAUGACUUAAAAUAUGAAUAAUGUUGAUAUGAUUAAAAUAAAUUUGAAAAAAGUAACAAUUAAAUUAUGAUUUCGCUACUAGGUAGAUUUCAGCACUUGAAAAAUAAAUUGCAAUUAUUACAAUUUUUAGUAUAUAUUUGUAUUACGCAGGGGAACGUUCAUGAACCUUUUUACCUAAGGCAUAUCAGCCUUAACCGAGUUAUAUCUACUUAACUACCAAAAACGGUACUGAAAAAUACUGAACAAAAAAUAACUAAUAUUAUAGAUAAGAAAUUGACGUAUUAAAUUAUGAUAUUGAUUAAAUAUUUAUAGCAAUAAAUUGAAAUUAAAGGUAUAUUAAUAAAAAUUUAAAUAAGUGAGACAAAUCUAUGGUUAAUAAUAUUUAAAUAAAUGGAAUAAACUAGAAAUGAAUAAGAAAUAAACGGCUAAUACUAGCUCUAACUCUGGCUCCAGCUCCACCGCUUUCAGCAAUUUCUCGGGAAAUCAAAAGCCUGCAGCCAUCAACAAUUGAAGAAGAAUAAAGAGGAAAACGGAAAAGUAAAACCCUUGCUAAGUUUCAUUAUCUAUCCAUUAAAAUCUUGGGCAUCCUGCACCAGAAUUAUGAAAUAAACAGUUCCCUAAAGGAACAAGAUUAAGGACUAUAAAUUACAAACCAUAUUGACCACUUCCUGCGCCACUUCCUGCUACACAAACUUCGGAAAUAAAAAACUGGCCUUUUACGUGUGCUUCUACCUGCGACACGGGAACACAAGUUCUCGAAAAAUGGAUGCAGUACCGACGAUGCAGUACCGAUGAGCUGUCAAUAUCAGCCAAUCAGAGAAAACAUUAAUUAAGACCAACCAGAAGAGUGACGGACCGUCAACAGAAAGCAUGAAUAAUUAAAUCAGGAGAGUGAUGCGUUACAGUAGUAAUGUGUCAUUGACAGUGUGAAUUUAAAGAAAUAUGAAUAAAAGAAGUUGACUAAAAUUAUUAAUAUAAUUAUUGAAAUUAAUGAAAUUUCAAUGGAGCGUUACUGAAAAUAGGAGUAUAAAAAUAAAACGCUACAAUUUAUGUUUUAUAGUUUUUUUCAAUUUUCUCCGAUUCUAUGAUAGCUAGAACCGAUUCGUUUUGACAUACAGAUACCUCCGAAUAUUCCUGAGAACUUCUUUUUGAAACAAAAAGUUAUCAGACUUACAGUUAAUUUAGGAAAAAAUUAAAAUAAUUUUUUCGAAAUUUUUCGUGGCUUUCGAUUUUCGACCAAAAAAAUAAAGAUUUUUUUAUUGGGUUUUUUUACUAGAAAUUGUUAGUUUAAGGCUUACUUUAAAAUUUGCCAAUUUUAGAAAAAAAAUGGUACGGUGGGAAAAAACCAGUUUUCUUUUGUUUUUCCCACAUUUUUACUAAUAUCUCGGCUUCUAUAGCUUCGAUUCAAUUCGUUUAUGGUUUCUUUUAUUCCUUAUUCUCCUCCUGUCAUUUCUUCUGAUAUUUCAAUAUUUAUGUUUAAUAGUUUUUUCCAAUUUUCUCCGAUUCUAUAAUAGCUAGAACCGAUUCGUUUUGACAGACGGAUAUCUCUUAAAAAUCUCAAGAACUUUUAUAACAUACAAAAAGUUGUCAGAGUUAUAGUUUAUUUAUAAAAAAAUAAAAAACAUUUUUUCAAAAUUUUUUGUGGGUGUAUUAAUAAUGUGACUGUAGGUCAUGUGCCUAAUGGUUCAGGUGUAACAGUUCGUAGAUCUUAUCUUAACACACCAUGGUUCACUAAACAAUCCACCAGUAUUCGGCGAUUGACACUUAUCACUAAAAAUUCGCAGAUUCUAAAUGCACAACCGUCACAAGCCAUCGUUUUUGUUUUGAAAAGCACUCAGCAAUUAUAUAUUUCCAGAUACUUUUUUACUGUUUUGACUUUCUUUUAAGGUCAUAAUAGUCGGCUCCACUCUAUUUAUAUACCUACACAGAGAAAAUAAUCUUGAAAGUUCCAGAAGAGAUAUGGCAACCGCGCCUUUUACCGAAGUAUUUAGAAUCAUUUAACUAUGUUAUCUAAGACAUACGUAAUUACACCUUUAUAACAAGUACUUUGGUCCGUGGGGACCAGUAGAAAUUUUUGUCAGUACUACAAAAAAAAAUCUCCACAAUUAUCCCGUGAAGUGCCCUAAACACGCAGUGGGGAAGAGACCUGCCGUAUCCUCAUAAGGCUCUGAGUUCAAACCUUAGCCUCGGCAUGGUGCUCUACCGACCUUUUUCUUUUUUUAGUACUUCGAAAAAAUUAAUAUCUAUAGUAAAUAUAUAGAUGUUAAUUUACGCUCUGCUCUCAAGUAACUCGUAUAAAUAUAACCAAUAUUUAAUACCUUCUUAUUUUAUAAUAAUACGCUAGUGGCAUCUAGGGUAAAUAUGCUAAAACAGAGUCCUCAAUUAAUACACUGUUGUAUUGGCGAACGUUAUGGCGUAUUCACCAUAGUAUGCAGAUAAUCGCUGUUUCCAAAGCAAUUUCAUUUACGUUUUUAAAUUAUGCUCCAAAUUCAAAAUUUAUUUUUUUACUUUAAAGGCCAUUCAAAAUUUAGUAGAAAAGUUUAAUACGUAAAUUUUCCACGAUUUAUACGUGCCAUAAGAUAAAGGAAAAAGAGGGUCCCAUUUAUUAGGGUAUUGGGAUAAGACCACCGGGUUUUAUGUCGAUUUUUUUAAUUUUUCAAUUUUAUUUUUUAAAGCCAAUAGUAAUAAGAUAUAAAAAAAAAUUGACAGGAGGAGAAUAAGGAAUAAAAGAAACCAAAAACGAAAUGAAUCGAAACUAUAGAAUCCGAGAUAUAAGUAAAAAUGUGGGAAAAACAAAGGAAAACUGUUUUUUUUUCCCACCGUACCAUUUUUUUUUUCCUAAAAUGACUAUUGGUAAAAUUUGAAGUAUGCCCCAACCUAACAAUUUCCAGUAAAAAAACUCAAUAAAAAAAUAAUUUUUUUUUGCUUGAAAAUCGAAAGGGGUACUUACGAAAAAUUUCGAGAAAAUUAUUUUUAUUUUUUUCUAAAUUAACUGUAAGUCUGAUAACUUUUUGUUUUAAACAAAAGUUCUCAGGAAUAUUACGAGGUAUACGUAUGUCAAAACGAAUCGGUUCUAGCUAUCAUAGAAUCGGAGAAAAUUGAAAAAAAAAACUAUAAAACAUAAAUAUCGAAUUAUCAUGAGCCCUAUGGAAAAAAAUUAUUUUUUUAUUUUUCUAUCCUGUACUACUUUAGAGUACCUUUAAAAAAGAUUAUUACCGAUUUGACUCUAAAAUUAGCGGAAAGCCUAUUUCUUUGCAUUUUUCGAUUUUCGAACAAAAUCCGGGUCAAAAUGAGUGUUUGAGUCCAAUAAGCCGAAAUAAAAGAUUGGUGUAGUUUUUCAUAAUUGUAGCUUUAUUAAAGCUAUUAACCAAAUAAUAUUACUACUAACUACGUAAAAUAAAGUGGACUAUAUUAUAUUUAGAGCGAUAAACGCUCUCCCUAAUGCGUAUUGUUGACUAAAAAGAGAAGACGCGCGCAGUCAAUAAAACGAAUGGGUAGUGUCGCGGUCUUGUGUAAUUUCUCGGUAUUAAGGUGGUGGGGAAGUCACGUAGACGGCGCGAUGCAUUCGGCGUAAUCCAUCAGGACCGGCGUUAAACAAAUAUGUUUCCCAACUCUAACAAUGAGCAUUUUUUCAAAAUAUGCUCCGAAUUCAAAAUUUUUUUUUUUGCUUAAAGGCAACUUAAAAAGUAGUAAAAAAGCUUUACGACAAAUUUAUCCACGUUUCAUACGAGUAUCACAAUCUAAAGAGAAAGAUCAGGUCCCAUAAGAAGCAAUGUAUUAGGAUAGGAAAAAUUUUUAGGGAAAUUUUAGGAAAAAGAAAAUUUUAAGGGAAAAAAACGAAUAAAAAAAUUUAUAAACUUAUUGAAUUGAAGCUAUAAAAGCCGUGAUAUCAGUAAUAUAGUAAAAAAAUACAAAAAAUACACUAUAUUAAUAUAAAUUUAUUACCAAUUUAGCAACUCCCACUAAAAGAACCCUAACUAAAAUAAAACUAUUAUUAAUGUUAUUUUUUUUCAGUUAUUUAUACCUUGUCUUAACCUUUAUGCUGCUAUUACUAUUAUUAUAAAUAUUAUCUUUCUUGUAAAUGUCCUUAAACCUUAAAACACCCUGUAUAAUACGAUUACUAUAAUUAUAAAUAAUAUUUUCCUUAUUUAUGCCCUCAACCUUAAGAACUCCCCGUAUAAUUCUAUUUGUAUACUAUUAUUAUCCGCAUAAAUAUCCCGUAAUAUCAAUACCCUCUGUAUAUUUCAACUAUAUAUUUAUUAAUAUUUGUAUUCAUUUUAUUUAUCCUAGUAAUUUAUCAAAAAUCCCUUCAAAAUUGUCCCCAUAAUAUUAAUACCUCAUUAAUAAAAUAACUCUGAUGUCACGAGACGAACACGACACGUUUAUAAUUGUUGCCAGACAUCUCCCAUCUUUCUCUAAAACCGCUUUCCUACUCUAAUUUGAAACGCAAAUGGGCCCGUAAAAAAUGUAAAUAAGAUGAGACGUCAGAUGCGCGGCGAAUUUUCCCGCCGCAAUAAAAACCAUUCGAUAAAAGAUAUGCACAUAUUCGGAAAAUUUUAAGUUUCCUGAUAUCGUCACUACCAAUUUCUGAUCAUUUCCACCCAUUUUAAGCCGCUAAUUCUCGAAUUGAAAAAGUCGGAUCCGCCCGAACGUACAAUUUGCCGCCAUGACACCGAAAACCCCGCGGUUGCGUCAUCUGGCCAUGUGCGACUCGAUAGUGACGUCGUCCGUAUGCUUUUACAUUGGGUGCUGGACCGCCAAUGAGCUGGCUCCCUAUGUCUCCUGGGGUAUGACUGGUUGGACCGGCUUAUUUUUUGGGGUUUUUCUUAAAUAACAGCGCGUUGUGGAAAAACGGUAACAUUUGAAGAAAAACGGUUUUUAGUGGAUUAUAGCCAGAUAGUGUUCGGUGAUUUGAAAAAAAUGGUUUUCAUAGGUAUCAUAGGUAUAUGCCGGUAUUAAGCGUCAAAGUUAAAAAAAGGUGUAGAGCAAAAACUAAGCUACGUAGAAGGUUGUAGACUAUGUCGAAAAAUAGGAUUUAAGAAGUUCUUAAAACGCUGAAAGUUUGAAAUCUCUAGGUGCCGCCAAUAAAGAGUAAGUAAAAGUAGAAAAAACGGUCAAAAAAAGGCUCAAAAAGGGGUUUAUAUUUGUUAACACAGCUCCUCCUGUAUAAUACAUAGCGCCGGAAAAAAAUUUUUAGAAGUAGAAACAAAUUUAUUUCUCGAAAAAUUCACUAUAUUUUUUUUCGAAAAAAAAAAUUUAAGUUUGAGCUCGUUUAUCUCGGAAGAAGUUUCUUUUUGAAAAAAAUAGUUUUAACAAAAACGAAAGCUGCAUUUACGUAGAAAAGGGCUGUUUUGUUCGCAUUAUCGGGAACGUUACCGUUUAGGCCCCACAACCGUUUAAGUCCGCGAGGUACCGCGCAAAAAGUUCAAAAUUCAUUCACAGAAAAAUCCGACUUCUAAAGGCUUUAUCUUAAAAAGCGCCGUUUCAGAGCUGCUUUAUAAAAAGGCCUUUAACGUCAAUGAGUCUUAGAAAAUUCGGCUUGGUCAGUUUUCCAGAACGACUUAAUCAACAUUUUUUCGUCAAAAUCCGUUUUUUGCCACGUCACUUCGGGUGGAUGUGGCGAAAAACAUUUUUUAACCAUUAUAUACGCUCAUCCUUCGUACAUAAAACGGUAAAAAUACGAAAAAAAAAAUUCGCGAUAGAACCAAAGUUAUUAGCGUUUAUGUAACGUAGGGCCGGAAAUCGCUCGAUUUGUCACGAGCACAUAAUAAAUCAAUUAUAUUCUUAUAUUCUCCGCAAACGCAGGUAUCAUUUUCGGCUUGUGAAAGUUCAUUCAACAUUCUGUCGCUUAUUUAUUAUUAAUGGGAUAAACUAAUAAAAGGUUACUACUGGA